AGUUUGAUCAUGGCUCAGAUUGAACGCUGGCGGCAUGCCUUACACAUGCAAGUCGAACGGCAGCACGGGAGCUUGCUCCUGGUGGCGAGUGGCGAACGGGUGAGUAAUACAUCGGAACGUACCCUGAAGUGGGGGAUAACGUAGCGAAAGUUACGCUAAUACCGCAUAUUCUGUGAGCAGGAAAGAGGGGGGAUCGCAAGACCUCUUGCUUUAGGAGCGGCCGAUGUCGGAUUAGCUAGUUGGUGAGGUAAAGGCUCACCAAGGCGACGAUCCGUAGCGGGUCUGAGAGGAUGAUCCGCCACACUGGGACUGAGACACGGCCCAGACUCCUACGGGAGGCAGCAGUGGGGAAUUUUGGACAAUGGGCGCAAGCCUGAUCCAGCCAUGCCGCGUGAGUGAAGAAGGCCUUCGGGUUGUAAAGCUCUUUCGGUGGGGAAGAAAUUGCUUCGGUUAAUACCUGGAGUAGAUGACGGUACCCGCAUAAGAAGCACCGGCUAACUACGUG
Molecule: ribosomal RNA, 505 nt
Filed under: uncultured bacterium
Lineage: Bacteria
Description: bacterial SSU rRNA
Rfam family: Bacterial small subunit ribosomal RNA
Source: RNAcentral